ACUGCUCAGUAACACGUGGCUAAUCUGCCCUUAGGACGAGAACAACCCCGGGAAACUGGGGCUAAUUCUCGAUAGGCGAAGAACUCUGGAAUGAGUCUUUACCUAAAUAGUGCAACGUUAUCCUCGUUGCAUCGCCUAAGGAUGAGGCCGCGACCGAUCAGGUUGUUGGUGAGGUAAUGGCUCACCAAGCCUUUUACCGGUGCGGGCCGUGAGAGCGGGAGCCCGGAGAUGGGCACUGAGACAAGGGCCCAGGCCCUACGGGGCGCAGCAGUCGCGAAAACUUUGCAAUACACGAAAGUGUGACAGGGCUAUCCCGAGUGCCAUCCGCUGAGGAAGGCUUUUACCCAGUCUAGAACGCUGGGGGAAUAAGGAGAGGGCAAGUCCGGUGUCAGCCGCCGCGGUAAUACCAGCUCUCCGAGUGGUGUGGAUGUUUAUUGGGCCUAAAGCAUCCGUAGCUGGCUAAGUUAGUCCCUUGUUAAAUCCACCGAAUUAAUCGUUGGAUUGCGGGGGAUACUGCUUGGCCAGGGGACGAGAGAGGCAGACGGUAUUUCCGGGGUAGGGGUGAAAUCCUAUAAUCCCGGGAAGACCACCAGUGGCGAAGGCUGUCUGCUAGAACGCGCCCGACGGUGAGGGAUGAAAGCUGGGGUAGCGAACCGGAUUAGAUACCCGGGUAGUCCCAGCUGUAAACGAUGCAGGCUAGGUGUUUGGGCGGCCACGUGCCGCUCUAGUGCCGCAGGGAAGCUGUUAAGCCUGCCGCUUGGGGAGUACGAUCGCAAGAUUGAAACUUAAAGGAAUUGGCGGGGGAGCAC
RNAcentral lists this ribosomal RNA (809 nucleotides) under uncultured archaeon. Its description in RNAcentral is "bacterial SSU rRNA". It matches the Rfam family "Archaeal small subunit ribosomal RNA", at positions 85 to 879 of the family's 1478-position model. The record is from RNAcentral.